This 484-nucleotide ribosomal RNA is filed under the name uncultured bacterium. Its description in RNAcentral is "partial 16S ribosomal RNA". It matches the Rfam family "Bacterial small subunit ribosomal RNA", at positions 28 to 523 of the family's 1533-position model. The record is from RNAcentral.
GACGAACGCUGGCGGCGUGCUUAACACAUGCAAGUCGAACGAUGAAGCUGGAGCUUGCUCUGGCGGCUUAGUGGCGAACGGGCGAGUAACACGUGAGAAAUCUGCCCUUGACUCUGGGAUAACUGCGGGAAACUGUAGCUAAUACCGGAGACUUUCCCUGGUGGGCAUCCACUGGGGAAGAAAGAAGAUCGGUCAAGGAUAAUCACGCGGCCCAUCAGCUUGGUGGUGAGGUAAUGGCUCACCAAGGCGACGACGGGUAGCCCGCCUGAGAGGGUGACCGGCCACACUGGGACUGAGACACGGCCCAGACUCCUACGGGAGGCAGCAGAGGGGAAUAUUGCACAAUGGGCGCAAGCCUGAUGCAGCAACGCCGCGUGAGGGAUGAAGGCCUUCGGGUUGUAAACCUCUUUUAGCAGGGAAGAAGCGAAAGUGACGGUACCCGCAGAAAAAGCACCGGCUAACUACGUGCCAGCCGCCGCCGUAA